Molecule: microRNA precursor, 78 nt
Filed under: Ascaris suum (pig roundworm)
Lineage: Eukaryota; Metazoa; Nematoda; Chromadorea; Rhabditida; Ascarididae
Description: microRNA asu-mir-36c precursor
Gene: asu-mir-36c
Source: miRBase by way of RNAcentral
ACGUGACGGGGAUUCUACUUUUGGUGAAGCGAGCUCAGAUGACUUCACCGGGCUCGAAUCCCUGUCCUGUCAUGAUUC